CACGUAGGGCGCAAGCGUUGUCCGGAAUUAUUGGGCGUAAAGAGCUCGUAGGCGGUCUUGCAAGUCGGAUGUGAAAGCCCUGGGCUCAACCCAGGAAGUGCACUCGAUACUGCAGGGCUUGAGUACUGGAGAGGUUGGUGGAAUUCUCGGUGUAGAGGUGAAAUUCGUAGAUAUCGAGAGGAACACCGGUGGCGAAGGCGGCCAACUGGACAGAUACUGACGCUGAGACGCGAAAGCGUGGGUAGCAAACAGG
This 253-nucleotide ribosomal RNA is filed under the name uncultured bacterium. RNAcentral describes it as "partial 16S ribosomal RNA". It matches the Rfam family "Bacterial small subunit ribosomal RNA", at positions 524 to 776 of the family's 1533-position model. The record is from RNAcentral.